CGUGAACCGUUAUAACUAUGUUCUGUGCUUCGUCGCAAGACUUGAGGCUGAACGAAGGUGAGUCUGCGUCUAUUUUGGAUGCGGAUUUGCUGAUGUUAUUUUAAACACCUAUUACUUAAUACUGAACUAUACUCCGAAUACGAAAGUUUUUGGUUUUAACAAUUAACAACUUUCAGCAGUGGAUGUCUAGGCUCGCACAUCGAUGAAGAACGCUGCGAACUGCGAUACGUAAUGCGAAUUGCAGAAUUCAGUGAGUCAUCGAAAUUUUGAACGCAUAUUGCACUUUCGGGUUAUGCCUGGAAGUAUGCCUGUAUCAGUGUCCGUACAUCAAACUUGCCUUUCUUUUUUUGUGUAGUCAAAAUUAGAGAUGGCAGAAUGUGAGGUGUCUCGCGCUGUCUUUUUAAAGAUGGUUCGAGUCCCUUUAAAUGUACGUUGAUUCUUUCUUGUGUCUGCGAAUUGCGAUGCUAUGCUCUUUGUGAUCGGUUUAGAUUGCUUUGCGCUGGUGGGCGACUUCGGUUAGGACAUAUGGAAGCAACCUCAAUUGGCGGUAUGUUCGGCUUUGCCUGACGUUAAGCUAAGCGAGUGUGGUUUUCUGUCUUUUCCUUGAGGUGUACCUGUCGUGUGUGAGGUUGAUUUAGGCUAUAUGGUUGCUUGGUUGUGUGGUUUAGCGUUUUCAGACGCCUGCUUCGGUAGGUAAAGGAGACAACACCAAUUUGGGACUGAGAGUUUACUCUCUUUUUCACUUUGGACCUGAUAUCAGGUAAGACUACCCGCUGAACUUAAGCAUAUUAUAG
This 794-nucleotide ribosomal RNA is filed under the name Pythium oligandrum. RNAcentral describes it as "eukaryotic LSU rRNA". The stretch from base 168 to 322 matches the Rfam family "5.8S ribosomal RNA". The record is from RNAcentral. Lineage: Eukaryota; Oomycota; Peronosporomycetes; Pythiales; Pythiaceae.